Molecule: ribosomal RNA, 554 nt
Filed under: Cutaneotrichosporon mucoides
Lineage: Eukaryota; Fungi; Basidiomycota; Tremellomycetes; Trichosporonales; Trichosporonaceae
Description: partial large subunit ribosomal RNA
Rfam family: Eukaryotic large subunit ribosomal RNA
Source: RNAcentral
AAGCGGAGGAAAAGAAACUAACUAGGAUUCCCUUAGUAACGGCGAGUGAACCGGGAAAAGCUCAAAUUUGUAAUCUGGCUGUCUUCGAUAGUCCGAGUUGUAAUCUAUAGACGUGUUUUCCGUGCUGGACCGUAUCUAAGUCCCUUGGAACAGGGUAUCAAAGAGGGUGACAAUCCCGUGCUUGAUACGACCACCAGUGCUCUGUGAUACACGCUCUACGAGUCGAGUUGUUUGGGAAUGCAGCUCAAAAUGGGUGGUAAAUUCCAUCUAAAGCUAAAUAUUGGCGAGAGACCGAUAGCGAACAAGUACCGUGAGGGAAAGAUGAAAAGCACUUUGGAAAGAGAGUUAAACAGUACGUGAAAUUGUUGAAAGGGAAACGAUUGAAGUCAGUCGUGUUCUUUGGAUUCAGCUAGUUCUUCUAGUCUACUUCCAUUGAACGGGUCAACAUCAGUUUUGUCCGGUGGAUAAAGAUAGUAGGAAUGUAGCUCCCCCGGGAGUGUUAUAGACUAUUAUUGCAUACACUGGGUGAGACUGAGGACUGCAGCUCGCCUUUU